GUCUGUGCAUUGCACGAUCAAGAGAAAUCCCAAAAACGUGAUAAAUGAACAUUUCCUGCCAUGAUUCCUGUACUUCAUAGUGUGGGGGCAUGAACAUGAAUGCCUCGUUGAUCCACAAGAAGUUCCUGGGAUGGGCUUUCAUAUAACUCAACCAGGGUCGUCUGUUGCAACAUCAUUAAUCGAUGGGGAAGCAAAGCUUAAGCAUGUCCUUCUUUUAGAAAUUAAGGGGAAUCAAUAUCGUCCAACUAAAAUACCUUUGAAGUCAAUGAGGCCUUUUAAAUAUGUUGAGGUAAGGAGUUCUGUGGAAUUUGGUUUUCAUAUUUUUUAGUAUUUUCAUACCAUGUCAUGCUUUCU
Molecule: long non-coding RNA, 354 nt
Organism: Magnolia sinica
Lineage: Eukaryota; Viridiplantae; Streptophyta; Magnoliopsida; Magnoliales; Magnoliaceae
Exons: 3
Source: RefSeq, a predicted model, not a curated record